UUCCCAUCCAAUCGGCUCCAAUGAAUCAAGGUGGGAGGAGGUAAAGCAAUUGGAACAGGCAAUUUUUAAGGCUGCGCUGAGCAUAAGGGGAAUAAGUGGAGACGUGCCCCAGACAGAACGAGUGGAGCUGGGACCUGAGCAGCAUCACAGCAAGCAGCCGUGUGAGCCAGUAUCCUGUCUGCUGGUGUAGCCAGGAGGAGAUGCGGAAGGAGGAAACUCAAGGAGGAGUUUUAUGCUUCCUUAUACUUCUUGGUUUGAGACAGAACCAGAAGUCCAAACAGCGAAGUGUUUGCAAAAGUCCUGAUGGUCGGGAGAUCGCUGAACUCCUUCAAACCAAGAGAGAUGAAAAGCUUACAAGAAAAGUUGCUCUCCAGAGGCUUUCAGCCCAGUUACGAGGAACCGAGGCAGGCUGAAUACACUCAGGAUGAUGAAUGGAGGGAGGAAACAUUCAGGAAACACAGGUGCCACAGGACCUCAGUGCCUUGUCUAUAAAAUGGAGAGCAUUCCUGUGCCCCUGUCUUGUCACACUGGUAUGCAGCUUAGUGCAUCCAUCCACCGCGGAGCAGCUGAGGGAUCAAGCCACCAAAUGCCACCAAGGCAGAGAAACACUCACACCAUCAUCGUUUGGGCUUCACACACCUGGGCUGAAGGUGAAAUGAAGGAAUUUGGUGUCAGGCUCUCUACUCCGGUCGCCAAUAGCCUCUUUCAGCAGGGAUUUGAGGACAAAGCAAACGGAAAGGAUAAAGAAGAAAUUAGAUGUUUUUUUUUUCCUGUUCCUACCUUAGACACACUGCGGGAUAAUGGCUUACACAGCAAGGGAUCAGCUUUGUGUGUGUGCGUGAGCUGGAGUCCAUCAGCACCAUGGCUGCUCAGGAGAGGUUAA
This 883-nucleotide long non-coding RNA is filed under the name Cairina moschata (Muscovy duck). RNAcentral describes it as "domestica (muscovy Duck (domestic type)) lncRNA (ENSCMMG00000008643.1)". Lineage: Eukaryota; Metazoa; Chordata; Aves; Anseriformes; Anatidae. The record is from RNAcentral.